UCAUUAAAGACAAUUUGAGAAAUAUCUUAAAAGUAUAAUAAAUAAAGCUUUACUCAUAUUUUAAUUUUUCAGUUACAACCAAUAUUAAAAUUUAGAUGAAUUUCUAUAAUUUUAUGCAUAAAUUUUUGCAUCUCCUUCAAUUUACCUAUAUACUAUUUGCUCGUCUCACAUGACACUGAUGGCAGAGAUGGCCAGUCAUCCAACUUCUACAGAGAAGAGAUGUUGCUGCAAAGUGAUGACAUGCCCUAGGGAACGCAGCAUCCAGGUGUCAAGGGAUGAGAUUCAGGCUUACAGGACAUGGUGAAAGUGAAGAUGCCACCUCCAAGUCUGGUCCAAGUAAACCUCCCAUGUGAUCCUCUCAUACUUUCCCUUCUCUCCCUUUUCCCUGUUGGACAUCAGCACCAGGCCAGCCAUAAAUGCCAUGCAUCGAAACAUCAGAGCCUCGUUCAAUCCAAGUGCCUGGAUCCCAGCUACAUGGAGCAACCCCCUUGUCCUCAUCAGCUUCAGGUGAGACCUGUGUGAAGGGACAGGACUGGGAGUCUCAUUCUUAUAGUGGCUGAUGUUAACAAGUAGAACUGCCCCACCUCCAAAAAGAAGGUUAGCACAAAAUUAACAAAUGCCAUUUAAGUAACUCUUUUAAUGACAAGGUUCAUUUGUGCAAGAAUCAAAUGAAAGAUACUUCAUUUCAAACACUGACCUGCUCUUAUGAACAGAUGAAAUAACCACAAUGAUUGCAUUGCUUUCAACUUGACCUAUAAUUUCAGAGAU
This 768-nucleotide long non-coding RNA is filed under the name Homo sapiens (human). Its description in RNAcentral is "HSALNT0136896". The record is from RNAcentral. Lineage: Eukaryota; Metazoa; Chordata; Mammalia; Primates; Hominidae.